UCUCCGUUGGUGAACCAGCGGAGGGAUCAUUACCGAGUUUACAACUCCCAAACCCAAUGUGAACGUUACCAAACUGUUGCCUCGACGGGGUCACGCCCCGGGUGCGUCGCAGCCCCGGAACCAGGCGCCCGCCGGAGGAACCAACCAAACUCUUUCUGUAGUCCCCUCGCGGACGUUAUUUCUUACAGCUCUGAGCAAAAAUUCAAAAUGAAUCAAAACUUUCAACAACGGAUCUCUUGGUUCUG
RNAcentral lists this unclassified non-coding RNA (245 nucleotides) under plant metagenome. RNAcentral describes it as "partial contains small subunit ribosomal RNA, internal transcribed spacer 1, and 5.8S ribosomal RNA". The record is from RNAcentral.